GCUGCUGUGUGACGACGCAGACUGCGCCGUGUGCAACGAGGCAGCCCGGAAAGCUGAGCGGCUGGCGUACACCAAAAGGGCCGGCGCGUGGGGCCCUGCCGGGCCAGGGUCACCUCCCCCUCCCACCUCCUUGUCUGGCCACUACACACCAUCCCGCAUCAGCUGGGAGCCGGAGCAGAACAUCGCACGGAGCCAGCAGGAGCAGUUCCUGCACAGCUGGGGGCUAGCUCGGAGCUCCUCUUCUCUCCAGCACGAGCCGCCCCUACUCGCUUGGGAGCUGAGAACUGGAUCGAGCAAGCACGAGACAUUUCUUCCCAGGCAGGAGGAGUACCCUGGCCCCUCUCCUGCCCAGCACGAGCCCUUCCCUCCAAGCCAAGGGGAACGUGGCUGGGGAGGUAGUUUCCUGCGCAGGGGCAGAGCAAGGAGCCCCCAGGCUGCUCCCCAGAAGCAGGCGCAUCGCCCUGACUGGGUGCCGUUUCUGGCCAAGUCCCCAGGUGGGGCCAGGAUGUCAGGGCGGGAGACCAAACGGCAGCGAGACCGAGAGAGCGCGGCACCCAGGGCCGCAGGGAAAGCUCUGACAUCUCUGGCUGGGAGACCCCCGGUGCGGGUCAGUCCUGGAGCCCUGCGUGUGCCCGGAAGGAUCGAAUUGGCCGAAGCGGAGACCCCCUUCCUCCACAGCGACGUCAGGGCGAGUCUCGAGUGGCACGUCCAGGUGAAGAGGCUGCAGCACGCCCUGGGGCUGCCCUGCACCCUGCAGAGCACUUUGAAGAUCUUCAUGCCCCCAGCACCGAAACCCACCGCACGCAGACCCUCGGGGGCAGGCAGCGUGGUGACGAUACCACAGGCCCUGCCCUUCCUGAGCGUCGGCUCCAGGACGGAGCUGGAGCGGCAUCUGCAAAGGAUGGUGCAUCUGAAGAGAUGGGGGAUGCCCAGAAGGAUCCAGGAGUCCUUGAGGCUGCUGAUGCCAGCCACAUCUCCACACCCCCGGCUCGGCCCCCGGCCAUCCGGGAGAUGGGCUCCAAAGGGGCCAGGCCCAGUGACGAGGGCAGCCCAGACGCCCGGCCUCAGAGCUAGAGCCUUAGCCCGGGCCUCCCAGGGCCCCGCCAGAGCGUCCGAAUCCACGCCCGGCUCGCGCUGCUGCAGAGACACCCGGGAGCUGCAGGGGCACAUUGCCAGGAAGGGCAUGGAAAUCAGACUGGGCGCGCUGCCCGCCGUGCUGAGGAGCUCUCAGAAAAUGGCUACCCUGGGGCGCAGAGACCUGCUCCUGCCUAAAGUGAUCCCCCCAGGCCACAAGGCCCCCCUGGCCCGUCACCGGCUCUGCCCCCUGCUCAGCUGCAAGGCGGGUAGCAUGGAGCUCGAUGUGAGGCACAAGCACAUCCAGUACUUCAGGGCUCUCCCCACCCUGUACGCGGAGUCCCUGGCCAAGAUGGAGCCCGGCCUGCCUGUGCCACACGCCCCCCUGCUGCCCCACGGCACGGCCAUCGAGUUCUGCCCCCUGGAGACUCCCUUCGUGGCCCCCGAGGGCCGGGAGCUGCUGGAGAGGCAUGUCCUGAGGAAGCGGCUGCAGCACGAAUGGGGCCUGCCGGGCCUGGUGCGGCGAUCACUGAAGUGUUUCAU
Long non-coding RNA from Chrysemys picta bellii (western painted turtle), 1617 nucleotides. The record is from Ensembl. NCBI's taxonomy places the organism in Eukaryota, Metazoa, Chordata, Testudines, Emydidae.